GAUGAACGCUGGCGGCGUGCCUAAUACAUGCAAGUCGAGCGAACGGACGAGAAGCUCGCUUUACUGAUGUUAGCGGCGGACGGGCGAGUAACACGUGGAUAACCUACCUAUAAGACUGGGAUAACUACGGGAAACCGGAGCUAACAACGGAUAAUAUUUUUAACCGCAUGGUUCAAUAGUCAAAGAAGAUCUUGCUGUCACUUAUAUAUGGAUCCGCGCUGCGUUAUCUAGUUGGUAAGGUCACGGCUUACCAAGGCAACGCUGCAUAGCCGACCUGAGAGGGUGGGUUGACACACUAGAACUGAACCGCGGUACAGACCACUACGGGAGGCAGCAGUAGGGAAUGGUACGCAAUGGGAGAAAGCCUGACGGAGAAAAGCCGCGUGGGUGAAAAAGGUCUUCGGAUAGUAAAACUAUGUUAUUAGGGAAGAACAUAUGUGUAAGUAACUGUGCACAUCUUGACGGUACCUAAUCAGAAAGCCACGGCUAACUACGUG
RNAcentral lists this ribosomal RNA (497 nucleotides) under uncultured bacterium. RNAcentral's name for it is "partial 16S ribosomal RNA". It matches the Rfam family "Bacterial small subunit ribosomal RNA", at positions 28 to 507 of the family's 1533-position model. The record is from RNAcentral.